Molecule: long non-coding RNA, 1455 nt
Organism: Magnolia sinica
Lineage: Eukaryota; Viridiplantae; Streptophyta; Magnoliopsida; Magnoliales; Magnoliaceae
Exons: 2
Source: RefSeq, a predicted model, not a curated record
UUGGUGAAUAAAACAGAAUGCAAAUGUUUACAUUGCUAAAGACACUUGGAUUUUUGGAAGAACAUUACUGCAAUUCCAAUGGCUAAAAUUGAGACAGAAGCAGUGGAAAUGCAUUCUUUCAUCCAUUGUCUCCAUCCUUGAAAGAUGAAACAGGUCCUCGAGAUAAAGAAUGAACUCCAACUCUAUGUCAUCAGUCUUUUUUGUCAAUUUCACAUAAGACGCUGAGCUGACAUACACUUAAGCCGCAUUCUAACACCUUUGCUGCAAUCAGGGGAAGUGUUCCAGCUAGAUUAAUAGUAAAAGCCGGGAUAACGAAAGAAAGAAAAGGAAAAAAAAAACCUUCCAUAAUCUGAAUUUUAACUCUUACGCGGCUAAAGUUCCAACUUUUACCUAAUGAUCGGUGCUCAAUUCUGACAAAAUGAGCCUGUGGUUUGGUACUCAAGACCACUGGACUGUUGCGUUGCACCCUAGAUGGACUUUCCUAAAAUUUCCUCCACAUGACGAUCUUAUCCUUUUUAAUUUGUCACCAAUAAGUAGAUAGUUAAAACCAAGACAAGCUGCUUGACCAUCCGAUCUGGGAGAUUUUUGGGGCAUGGUCUAUCCAUAGUGGAAUGCAACAUCCCAAUGGUUUGUCCUACCAGAUUAUGUGUUUCACUUGUUAGAAGUUAAAACUGUAUAUACUAUGCUGCGAUUUUGGUCACAUGUCAUAUAAUUCCUCCCCGUGUUGGCUUUGAUUAACUCCAUGGAACUAUUUUUUCUGAAGCUGAAGCUGAAAUGGUCAUUUGCUCAGAUUUAUUGAGAAGAGUGGUUUUUUCUCAUUUGCUUAAGGUGUAAUUUCAUAAUUUGUUUGAUAAUAAUUGCUGUGUUAUGGUGUCCCUCAUACAGUUUAAGCCAUAUGAAGAGAUCCAGCAAGAAGGAACCUGAAAGGAUGAGAAGAAAGAAGCUGAACAAGUUCAAAAAGAAAGGAGUCCAAAGGACUUGGAAGAGAUCCAACAAGAAAAUACCAACCUAGGUGAUAUGGAGGACAUCUUCAAAAUAACUCCAUCCAAAAAGACAGAAAUUGUUGAAUAUAGACCUUGGUCUGACCUUCCAACAGAUCUUCUAGAGUUGAUCGCAUUGCAUUUCUUUUGAGCAGAUUUUGUUCAUCUGAUCUCCUCCUGUAGAAAUUGGCGAUCAAUUGCCCCACCGAGCCUAAUCACAAAACAGCAUCUCUUUUCUCAGUAGUCAUGGCUUGCCAUUUCUCAGAAAUUACUCGCCAUGGCUCAUGUAUUUUGGGAAAGACGAUGGCAUGUGUAACUUCUUGAAUCCUUUGUACAAUGAGAGAUAUUUCAUCAAUAUCCCAGAGCUCCCUGGUUCAACAAUUUGUUUCUGCAAGGAUGGUUGGGUAUUCAUGUAUAGAGGCAACAGCUCUGUGUUCCUUUUCAAUCCCUUUAUCAAAUCAAGGAUUGAACUCAA